This 491-nucleotide small RNA is filed under the name Pan troglodytes (chimpanzee). RNAcentral's name for it is "retained intron". The record is from RNAcentral. Lineage: Eukaryota; Metazoa; Chordata; Mammalia; Primates; Hominidae.
GAGAGCGGUAAGAUGGCGGCGGCGGCGGUGGUGGAGUUCCAGAGAGCCCAGUCUCUACUCAGCACCGACCGGGAGGCCUCCAUCGACAUCCUCCACUCCAUCGUGAAGCGUGACAUUCAGGAAAACGAUGAAGAGGCAGUGCAAGUCAAAGAGCAGAGCAUCCUGGAACUGGGAUCUCUCCUGGCAAAGACUGGACAAGCUGCAGGUAAGUGCUACACAUGGAUUGUACCUGAAAUGCUCAGUGAAAUUCCUGUCUUUUGUUGGAGUGAAGAAUCAUGGGACUGAUCCACAAACUGAAUUCAGCUUUAUUUUCUUGGCAAGUUGUUGAGCUUCAGUUUUUUAGCAGGCAGUUAAGUGGCCUUUAAACUCACUUCUUUCAUGGUAGUUUAGUUUUGCAAAUGAGAGACAAUCUUAUUUUGUUGGGAUAUAGUGAUUUCUGAUUUGUUUCUGGUUUUUGAAUUCUCACUGUAUUCGCUUACAUAGAGGCAGCA